RNAcentral lists this long non-coding RNA (232 nucleotides) under Elaeis guineensis (African oil palm). Its description in RNAcentral is "long non-coding RNA (EGUI_LNC046852)". The record is from RNAcentral. Lineage: Eukaryota; Viridiplantae; Streptophyta; Magnoliopsida; Arecales; Arecaceae.
GUUGUGAGUAGGUCAAUAUGGAAUCAAUCACUCCUAAUAAGAAGAGAUCGCAUCCUGUGUAUUCUCAAUCCUAGAUGACUGGAGAAAAAUCUUUUGGCCAAAAGCAAGAAGGAGAUUAGAAAAAAAUUUUAAGCUUCUUCAUUGGAGUCAUCAUUGGUUAAUUGAGAAUCGAUAUGAAUAUGUGUUUGAGUUUGACAUGAUUCCAUACUCAUGAACAUAUUCAGGGUGCAAG